CCUACGGGUGGCAGCAGUGAGGAAUAUUGGUCAAUGGACGAGAGUCUGAACCAGCCAAGUAGCGUGAAGGAUGACGGCCCGAUGGGUUGUAAACUUCUUUUAUAAAGGAAUAAAACGAGGCACGUGUGCCGUUUUGCAUGUACUUUAUGAAUAAGGAUCGGCUAACUCCGUGCCAGCAGCCGCGGUAAUACGGAGGAUCCGAGCGUUAUCCGGAUUUAUUGGGUUUAAAGGGAGCGUAGAUGGGUUGUUAAGUCCGUUGUGAAAGUUUGCGGCUCAACCGUAAAAUUGCAAUUGAUACUGGCAGUCUUGAGUACAGUUGAGGUAGGCGGAAUUCGUGGUGUAGCGGUGACAUGCUUAGAUAUCACGAAGAACCCCGAUUGCGAAGGCAGCUUACUAAACUGUGACUGACAUUGAUGCUCGAAAGUGUGGGUAUCAAACAGGAUUAGAUACCCUUGUAGUC
This 460-nucleotide ribosomal RNA is filed under the name uncultured bacterium. RNAcentral describes it as "partial 16S ribosomal RNA". It matches the Rfam family "Bacterial small subunit ribosomal RNA", at positions 338 to 795 of the family's 1533-position model. The record is from RNAcentral.